RNAcentral lists this transfer RNA (58 nucleotides) under Manacus vitellinus (golden-collared manakin). It matches the Rfam family "tRNA", at positions 8 to 63 of the family's 71-position model. Rfam says of the family: Transfer RNA (tRNA) molecules are approximately 80 nucleotides in length. Their secondary structure includes four short double-helical elements and three loops (D, anti-codon, and T loops). Further hydrogen bonds mediate the characteristic L-shaped molecular structure. tRNAs have two regions of fundamental functional importance: the anti-codon, which is responsible for specific mRNA codon recognition, and the 3' end, to which the tRNAs corresponding amino acid is attached (by aminoacyl-tRNA synthetases). tRNAs cope with the degeneracy of the genetic code in two manners: having more than one tRNA (with a specific anti-codon) for a particular amino acid; and 'wobble' base-pairing, i.e. permitting non-standard base-pairing at the 3rd anti-codon position. Lineage: Eukaryota; Metazoa; Chordata; Aves; Passeriformes; Pipridae. The record is from Rfam by way of RNAcentral. RNAcentral also lists the same sequence under 1 other name.
UAGCUCAGUUGGUUAGAGCAUGGUGCUAAUAACACCAGGGUUGUGGGUUCAAUCCCUC